GUAGGUGAACCUGCGGAAGGAUCAUUAUUGAAAUAAACCUGAUGGGUUGUUGCUGGUUCUCUAGGGAGCAUGUGCACACUUGUCAUCUUUAUAUCUCCACCUGUGCACCUUUUGUAGAUCUGAAUAGCUUUCUGAAUGCCUAGCAUUUGGGUUUGAAGAUUGACUUUGCUGUCUCUCUUUACUUUCAGGUCUAUGUUUCUCCAUAUACCCCUAUGUAUGUUAUAGAAUGUAAUAAAUGGGCCUUUGUGCCUAUAAAUUUAUACAACUUUCAGCAACGGAUCUCUUGGUUCUC
Molecule: unclassified non-coding RNA, 292 nt
Filed under: rhizosphere metagenome
Description: partial ribosomal RNA internal transcribed spacer region
Source: RNAcentral